CUAAGACAUUGCUCCUAACAAUCGUCGUCACCGUCACCGACUUCUCCACUUUGCCUUCAUCUUUCAAAGUAUCCUUUUCACUGUUUUAAUCAGGACCCACUUUUCUUAUUCAAUGCCUAUUGUAAGAUUUCUAGAGAUGUUAACGUUUCACCUCCUUUCCUUUCUCUUCUUAUAUAAAUCUCUUCCUCGAAUCUACAUCCAACUACAUUCCACAACAUCCAAAAAGUGACGUCAAGCGAUUCGGUUCAAAUCCCUGGGAAUUGGAGAGAUUACAAAUCUCAAAAUUAAACUGUCCAGCGAGGAGGGACAUCCUUGUUGGGGAAAAAUAUCCAGACAUGAGUUUUCUCCAGCUUCCGGCUAUGUCCUCGACUUCCGGACCCUUGCUCAAGAAGAAACCAGGAACUGACCCCUGCCUUGGGUCUGACCCCUAGAUCGGACCGACCCCUUGGAGUAAAAUAGAAGUUUUCUACCUAAGGGGAAACUUCCAUUUUUCUGAUUAUGGAAGAGUUCUAUUACUUGAAGCCGACAUCUACAACUAUAAAAGGGGAGCCCAAACCCUAGAAUAAGGGAUCGACUUUCGGAGGCUAGAAGAUUAGAGUUUAGGCGACUAGUACUAGGGUUUAGACACCCAAACAUUGUAGUCCCGAUCAAAACACUCAAUAACAUCUUCUAGUUUACGAUUUCUCUUGCUUUCAUACAAAUCCUCUAGUGUUCCGUAGCACUUAAACGAUCCUACACAAAAAUACCCUAACAGUUUGGCGCUAGAAGGAGGGAGUGAUCCAACUACGUGACGAUGGCAUUAGAGGACGACGCUAACCAGACGGAGAUGACUCCGAGAGAGAUCGAGCUCCUCAACAAGCUCGAGUUUCUUCAGAGUCAGGUUACCGAUCUUCACAAAUCUCGGGAGGCAACACCCGGAGGUCCCGAACUUCUCCUUGAAGUUCAAAACCUAAAAGACAAACUUGGAGAGCACUCCAAGCAACUACAGCAAAGCGCCGAGAAGCUAUACGCCAUAGAGGCGGAGAAUCUUGUCCUCCGACAAGAGAACCAUACCCUCGGUGAAGCUAGCAACAAGCGAAAGCGGUUUCGGACUAAGGUACGACCCAUGGCUUCACUCUACACUCCGCGCGACAGUGAAGAGGUACCUCGUCGACCCGCCUCAACCAAAGACGAACCCGAAAGCCGAGAAGCCACGAACGAUAGGACCCAAGUACAAGUAGAUAGCGAUUCCGAUACGGAGUACGAGGAGUAUUCACCCAAUGAUCCCGAUAUCUCAGAUCCAGCCCUAGCAGCCUACUUAGAAAGAGUAGUCUUCGAAAGGUCCGUCACCAUUCAAUCUAUGGUAGAAAGGCUCCCAGGGCACCUCCUCCUAUUCGAAGAAGCAAUCAGGGGUCCUACUCUGAUACACCUUUCGUGGAAGAGAUUGCUUUGGUGGAGAUGCCGCGAAAGUUCUCUUUCCCAAGCAUAAAGAUGUACGAAGGUACUGGGGACCCCGACAAUCACAUUGCUCAGUACAAGUAACGCAUGCUAGCAGUAGCAAUUCCUCGGGAUGCACGGGAAGCUACCAUGUGCAAAGGAUUCGGAUCGACCUUGACCGGCCCCGCUCUUCAAUGGUAUAUCAAGCUGCCCACCAAAUCAAUCAAAUCCUUUGCAGCCCUUAGCGAUAAGUUCGUGGAGCAGUUCGCUAGCAGCCAUGACCUAGAGAAGAACUCGGAUGAUCUCUAUGAGAUCCUCCAGCAUAGGAAUGAGCCCCUUCGUUCUUACAUAGCUCGCUUCAACCAAGCGAAGGUAGCUAUUCCUGAGUGCAACGCUGAUACGGCUAUCUCAGCCUUCAAGAGGGGUCUACUUCCAGAGGGAGACCUUUACAAGGAGCUGAUCAAAUACAAGUGCAUGAUUAUGGAAGACGUGCUGUCUCGUGCUUGGGCUCAAGUAAGAUGGGCAGAAGAUGUUGCUAGUAGGGCUAAAGCCGGUCCGAACACUACAAGAAAUAUGAGUAUUGGUAGCAGUUCACAGUAGCACGAAUUCACUAACUGCUACCAAAAAUGCCAAAAUCUGAUCAUAACUAUACAGUAGCACUAAAUCCGCGCUAAGAUAGAAUUUUAUUAAGCGGGAAAGCAAAAAUAACUACUAUAGGUGAACAUUUGUUUUGGAGCCAAUACUUAGCCAAUUUUUUGGGUUUACCUUAGCUUCUUACCAGGAAAAAUAACUCUUCUCUUUAAAAAAAAAAAAAAAAAAAAGAGAGAGUUCAUCUCUCGUCGUCUCUGGCCCGUUUCCCCUCUCGAGCUCCGACCACUACUCUGUGGUCUCCACUCACCGGCAAUCGAACACGGUGGCGCAUCUUGUCCACUCUCGAGCCUCGCCGCCGUGUCUAUGCUCCUCAAUCCGCCGCUCUCUGCUUCACACCGCAACAGUGUCGCCGUCGUUUGUCACGUCGGAGCUCUCAUCCAUCGCUGAGUCGGUGACAAAACCACAACACGAUAGCACCUGCUCCAAAUCAAGCUUCUCUGGCGCGUUCUUGCUUCACAACCGGCAUCUCCGUCUUGUUCCGUUCUCGUCGUCACCGGAAUCAAAACUGUAGAAGAGCAACCAUGGCAUUUCGACAAAAGGUAAACAAGUUUCAACAUGCUCAGAAGGGAUUGAAUGCUUCAAGGUCAAAAGACUCUCAAGUGUUAAAGAAGCUAAGAAAAGAAGCAUUCUUCUCGGAGUUGAGAAAAACGAAAAGAGACUCCAAGGCUCAAAAAGCUUCAAAUUCCACUGAAGACGAAGCUCCUGCUUGAGCUGCAGUAUCAUUUGCUUUGAGAGAUCGCAAGCUUGCAAUCUUCUUUGCAUAGUCUGUAUCAGAUGUUGUUGCAGUCUUAAUUGGGGGAUCUGGAACUUCAUCUUUCACCACCUCCCAUAGCUCUCUGUUCAUCAGUGUGGUGUGCAUCGUUACUGCCCAGAACUCGUGGUUUGAUAUCUUGUUCAUCGAUUCAUUGAUGUUUUUAUGCCCAA
Raphanus sativus (radish) is the source of this 2991-nucleotide RNA transcript. RefSeq lists it as uncharacterized. The transcript has 5 exons. Lineage: Eukaryota; Viridiplantae; Streptophyta; Magnoliopsida; Brassicales; Brassicaceae. The record is from RefSeq and is a predicted model, not a curated record.